RNAcentral lists this non-coding RNA (32 nucleotides) under Homo sapiens (human). The record is from RNAcentral. Lineage: Eukaryota; Metazoa; Chordata; Mammalia; Primates; Hominidae.
UGCCACUACCUUUGGUCAGAGCAACUGUGCUU